RNAcentral lists this ribosomal RNA (1598 nucleotides) under Candidatus Woesearchaeota archaeon. Its description in RNAcentral is "bacterial SSU rRNA". It matches the Rfam family "Archaeal small subunit ribosomal RNA". The record is from RNAcentral. Lineage: Archaea; Nanobdellati; Candidatus Woesearchaeota.
CAAUUCCCGUUGAUCCUGCGGGAGGUUGCUGCUAUCGGGAUUCGACUAAGCCAUGCAAGUCAGAGGGUUCCUUCGGGAACACAGGCGAAUCGCUCAGUAACACGUCGAUAAUCUAACCUUAAGUCAGGGAUAACUUUGGGAAACUGAAGCUAAGACCUGAUAGAAGAAUUCUACUGGAAGGUGUUUUCUUUGAAAGGCAACGCUUAAGGAUGAGUCGGCGGCAGAUUAGGCUGUUGGUGGAGUAAAGGCCCACCAAACCGAAGAUCUGUAAGGGCCUUGAGAGAGGUAGCCCUGAGAAGGACACUGAGAUACUGGUCCUAGCCCUACGGGGUGCAGCAGGCGCGAAACCUUUACAAUGCACGAAAGUGUGAUAAGGGAAUCCCGAGUGCUUAUGCUUAGCAUAGGCUUUUGCCAAAGGUAAAUACUUUGGCGAAUAAGUAGUGGGUAAGACUGGUGCCAGCAGCCGCGGUAACACCAGCGCUACAAGUGGCAAUCAGAUUUAUUGGGUCUAAAGCGUCCGUAGCCGGUCUGAUAAGUCUUUUGUGAAAUUGUUGUGCUCAACAUAACAGCGUGCAAAAGAUACUGUCAGACUUGGAACUGGAAGGAGUUAGGGGUAUUCCUUGGGGAGCGGUAAAAUGCUAUAAUCCUUGGAGGACCACCUGUGGCGAAAGCGCCUAACCAGUACAGCUUCGACGGUGAGGGACGAAAGCCAGGGGAGCAAACCGGAUUAGAUAUUGAGACUCCUGUCUCAGAAUUGGUUUCGUUUGUUUGUUGCUAAAAAUACUGAACGAAAUUAAGAACAUCAGGAGUAUAUAAAACUCAACUAAUUACCCGAGUAGUCCUGGCCAUAAACUCUGCGAGCAAGGUGUUGCAUAUUCUUCAUGAAUAUGCAGUGUCGAAACGAAGGUGUUAAGCUCGCCACCUGGGAAGUAUGGUCGCAAGGCUGAAAUUAUCACUCAACUAGAGGGUAAUCAGUAGACUUAAAGGAAUAGGCGGGGGAGCACCACAAGGGGUGCGGCUUGCGGUUUAAUCUAAUUCAACGCAGAGCAUCUCACCAGAAGCGACGGCAGGAUGAUAGUCAGGUUGAAGGCCUUACUUGACGAGCCGAGAGGUAGUGCAUGGCCGCCGUCAGCUCGUACCGUAAGGUGUCCUGCUAAGUCAGGCAACGAGCGAGACCUGUAUCCACAAUUGCUAUCGACUUUUAGAAUCGAGCACAUUGUGGAGACUGCCUUGGAAACAAGGAGGAAGGUGCAGGCUACGGUAGGUCUGUAUGCUCCGAAUCUUCUGGGCUACACGCGCGCAACAAUGGUAGGAACAAUGGGACACAACUCCGAAAGGAGAAGUUAAUCCUCGAAAUCCUAUCUUAGUUCAGAUUGAGGACUGUAACUCGUCCUCAUGACGAUGGAAUCCCUAGUAAUCAGACGUCAUCAUCGUCUGGUGAAUAUGUCCCUGCUCCUUGCACUCACUGCCCGUCAAACCAUCCGAGCCGAGUUUAGGUGAGGCUUAGCAAUCUGUUAAUUCGAACCUAAGCUUAGUGAGGCGGGUUAAGUCGUCACAAGGUAUCCGUAGGGGAACCUGCGGGUGGAUCACCUCCUUAU